Long non-coding RNA from Oncorhynchus tshawytscha (Chinook salmon), 593 nucleotides. The record is from Ensembl. Lineage: Eukaryota; Metazoa; Chordata; Actinopteri; Salmoniformes; Salmonidae.
AUCUGGUCAAAGCUAGUGCACCAUAUAGGGAGUAGGUUGCCAUUUGGGACGUAUUCCAAAUGGAAAUGUGACUGAAGAGGUAGGAAACAACACCGCCACUUCACUGACUUUAACACUGGGGUCCUACAAGCGUGCUCAGCCCCCUCCUGUUCUCCCUGUUCACCCAUGACUGCGUGGCCAAGCACGCCUUCAACUCAAUCAUCGGGUUUGCAGACGACACAACAGUGGUGGGCCUAAUUACCAACGAUGAUGAGAUGGUCUGCAGCGAGGAGGUGAGGGCCUAAUUACCAACGAUGAUGAGAUGGUCUGCAGCGAGGAGGUGAGGGCCUAAUUACCAACGAUGAUGAGACGGUCUGCAGGGAGGAGGUGAGGGGUGUGUGCGGCCAGGAAAAGCAUCUCUCACUCAACAUCAACAAAACAAAGGAGAUGAUCGUGGACCUCAGGAAUCAGCAGAGGGAGCCACGCCCCCUAUCCACAUCGACGGGACCACAGUGGAGACGGUAGAACGUUUUAAGUUCCUCGGCGGACACAUCACUGACAAACUGAAAUGGUCCACCCACACAGACAGUGUGGUAAAGAAGGCGCAACAGCAC